CUUGGGAUGAUUUUGCUGCGAUGGCGGUCAUGCGAGGGAUUCCUGCAUUGGAGCUUUCUAUAAACUGUAGCGGGUUUUCUGAAGCUAGUGGAACUUUGUAAAGGCCUCGUAGUGUUACUCUGCCUCGCCUCCUCGGUAGAGGUGUAUGGGAUUGGCCGUCCCUUGGUAGAUGGGUAACAUGACUUGUGGGUGAAGAUGCGCAACCUCUACAGAGUGUAAAACUGGUAUACUAGCCGUGCUCACGGUCAAGAGCAGCUCGGACACUCACAUGAUUAAUUUAUGAAACUAAAUUCAAUUUGUCAUAUGCAUUGCAUCGCGGGUGAUGUUGUUACUUUUGUUCUACUACUUAAUUGGGCUAGUAUUUACUUAUACUUAGUAAUUGCUAAUAAAAUUUUGACCAACUUUAAAAGCAAUGCUCAGCUCUAACCAUCCUCUUUGAUAAGCCUUACACUUCACGUGAGCUCCCACCUUUGGCGAGUUCAUGCACAUUAUUCCCCACAACUUGUUGAGCGAUGAACGUAUGUGAGCUCACUCUUGCUGUCUCACACCCCCCCACAGGUCAAGAUCAGGUACCACAGGAUGAGGCGCAUGGAGGAUGCUGCGAUGUGUUCGUGAGAGGUCUAGGCCGUCGUCUCCCAGUCAACUUUGGGUUGCUGGACCGUUGUCUCCUUAUAAUGUAAUUAUUUAUUUAUUUUGUAUAGAACUCCUGUUAUAUAGUAAAGAUGUGACAUUCAAUCCUGUGCCAUGAUUCAUCAUAUGUGUGAGACUUGGUCCUAGCACACCUGGUGAUUAUGUUCGCGCCCGGGUCUUGGUGCCCCAAAAUCCGGGUGUGACAGAAGUGGUAUCAGAGGAAUGUUGACUGUAGGACGAAACCUAGAUAGAACUGGACAACCAUUAUCUACUUACCUUCGCUACUCUGAUUCUUUCUAAACUUCUCUUAAUCUUUUCUCAUCUAUUUCCGCUUACUCUGAUUACUCUUACUUUUUCCUUCUAAAGACAAAAUUGGAUUUCUCACUUUGAAAUCCUAUGCCUAAAGUGACAUUUAGGAAUAGGAGACCUACUCUCUGGAACAAAAACAAAAUCAUAUUUUCUUUAAAAGUAUCUAUGCACUUGAAUGUUUGUUUUUAUGAUACUUGUCUGAUUUGGAUCUUUGAUUAAGUGUGAUGAGUUUUGGAGUAAUGUCCACCACUACAUCUACAUAUACAUAUAGGCAUAAAAAUAUAUUCAUAAGACAACUACACAACCUAAAUUAUCCUCCAUUAAAGUAUAUCCAUUUUAAAUAGAUCCAUCUUAUCUUAAAAGAUCCUAUCUAAUCUUAUAUAAUCUAAUUUAGAGUGAGUUACUUAAUGCUGGUACAAGGAUAAGGCCAUACUACUAAUCCACUUACGCCUAAAUCGGUGACUUAGAUCAACUCAGCCAUACACAAACCACUUGACCUACAUAAUUGGUUACAUAACUAAUCCCAACUAGCAUAUAGCUACCUACUAAACCCUCUACCUAGCUAUUACCUACUGAUCUAUCUUAACCUCUUGGUGACACCAAAGCUCAAGAGGGAAAAGAUCAACCUCGUCAAGGAAGGAGAGAAGUCAAAUUCAAUCUUCGGAUGCAUUACCAUCUGACACGAAGUUCUUCCUUACCAUAAACUUUCUUACCCCUGACUAUUCUUGCCUAAACUAUACAUCUCUUAUAUCCUACCUAAUAAGUAGCUGGAUACCUAUGCCCUCCUGAUCACCCACUAUUCAGUAUAUAAAAUAAAUGAGACUAUGGAUUUUUGAACCAAUUAUAGACUAAAAGCUGAAUUACAAACCAAUCCUUCUAUAUCCCUUUUCUUAUUAAUCUCGAGGACGAGAUUUCUGUUAAGGGGGGUAGGAUUUGUAACACCUCAAAAUCUUAUCUUAAGAAUUUAGUAAAAGUCUUCAAUUUUUUUUUGAGUAAAUUCUCUAGAAAAGAAGUUUC
This 1956-nucleotide long non-coding RNA is filed under the name Zea mays. RNAcentral's name for it is "drought responsive lncRNA". The record is from RNAcentral. Lineage: Eukaryota; Viridiplantae; Streptophyta; Magnoliopsida; Poales; Poaceae.